Molecule: ribosomal RNA, 492 nt
Filed under: uncultured bacterium
Lineage: Bacteria
Description: partial 16S ribosomal RNA
Rfam family: Bacterial small subunit ribosomal RNA
Source: RNAcentral
AGUGAACGCUGGCGGUAGGCCUAACACCUGCAAGUCGAACGGCAGCACAGUAAGAGCUUGCUCUUACGGGUGGCGAGUGGCGGACGGGUGAGGAAUACAUCGGAAUCUACUUUUUCGUGGGGGAUAACGGAGGGAAACUUACGCUAAUACCGCAUACGACCUACGGGUGAAAGCAGGGGAUCUUCGGACCUUGCGCGAUUGAAUGAGCCGAUGUCGGAUUAGCUAGUUGGCGGGGUAAAGGCCCACCAAGGCGACGAUCCGUAGCUGGUCUGAGAGGAUGAUCAGCCACACUGGAACUGAGACACGGUCCAGACUCCUACGGGAGGCAGCAGUGGGGAAUAUUGGACAAUGGGCGCAAGCCUGAUCCAGCCAUACCGCGUGGGUGAAGAAGGCCUUCGGGUUGUAAAGCCCUUUUGUUGGGAAAGAAAAGCAGCAGGUUAAUACCCCGCUGUUCUGACGGUACCCAAAGAAUAAGCACCGGCUAACUUCGUG